CAUCAGGAUUGUUUAUGAGAUCUCCGAAAGGCGUAACAGUGAUGACCUCACUCUGCCUCAGCCCCAGUGAAUCAUGGGAUACAGGAAGCAAGGUCUCUUAACGCCAGACACCCAGGGUCGGACCAGACGAUCAGCGCCUCAAACGCUGGCCCAAGACAAACCCUGCCCAACGGCCAGACUCAUUCAAUCUAUAAUGCAUGUCUGAUACAUAAAGGUCCCUGCAGGCCAAGAACAGAGAUUCCUGCUCCAGGCUCCUUCCUCCACAUUAAAGACACAUGACGGUGCAUCUCAGCCUUGGCGUGGGCCUUGGGUUCCCCGCCCCAGGCGACCGGCGCCCCCACCACCCCGUGGAAGCUGGACGGGCAGUACGGCCCGAACGGCGGCUCCAGAUAGUGCCCCGCUCCUGGGUACACCACCUUCUCAAAGUUGUCCUUCCCCUGACGUCUCAGCCGCUCCGUCAUCUGGUCGGCAAAAAGACAACUGUCCCAGUUGAGGUCGUCCUCGGCGGCCACGAAGAGGAAGUGCCCUGUGGCUCGUUCGAUGGGGAUCAGGGAUCCCUCGUUCUCCGGAGCCAGAGGGUCGUGAAGGCUGUGCUUUACGUUCAAAGCCCCAGACUUGGUGACUGUGUUGUGCUUGGAGUCGUACAUCAGGGCAGAGUGUAUUUGACUUCCUCUGUAGUAGAGGGGUAUGGCAACAUUGGAGCAGCAGCCGUUUAUCCAUGCGGUGGCUUUAACGUUUGGUAAGUGUGUGGCGAUAGAAAGUGCCAGAUCUCCGCUCUUGGAUAUUGAUAUAAUGCCAACGCCCGAAUCCAUAGCCUGUGAGUAAAAAACACUGUUAAUGUAACAUGCAAUAUCCCAGCAUAUGAGCCACUUUUAUAGUUACAUAGUUAAUAAUAAUUAAUAAACUUAAACCAAUUCGACCAAUCAAAGCAGACUGUGCUACUCGGGAGGGGGGCCUUAAAGCGACAUGAUUCAAAUCAGACCGUUUUUGAGAGAUGCUGUAAAUGGUUGAGCAGAAAUGAACAGUGUGAGAAUAAUAAGAGGUAUUUCUAACAUACAGGCAUGUAUUCUAGUAGUACCCCCAAAUGCCAUUAUUACCCUUAAAAAGCAUGAUAUGGGAUCUGUA
Molecule: long non-coding RNA, 1125 nt
Organism: Gadus chalcogrammus (walleye pollock)
Lineage: Eukaryota; Metazoa; Chordata; Actinopteri; Gadiformes; Gadidae
Exons: 4
Source: RefSeq, a predicted model, not a curated record